Molecule: long non-coding RNA, 641 nt
Organism: Archocentrus centrarchus (flier cichlid)
Lineage: Eukaryota; Metazoa; Chordata; Actinopteri; Cichliformes; Cichlidae
Exons: 4
Source: RefSeq, a predicted model, not a curated record
GUGAAAUUGGAGCAGAGGUGGAGAUUAUUUCUCCAUGUGCAAAACGUGUCUCUCGCACCGCACAAGUCCAUAAAGUGCCAGCAGAGUGUGCGCAGUGCUUGAAGAGCUAGAACACAACAAAUUAGCCUGAGCUGCUUGCUGUGGACUUGGAGAAAAUGUCAGAUGCACGCCGAAACCUUUCAGACUAGGAAAACUGGCAGGAUACAACACAAAGCAAGACAAAUGGACUGCCACUUGAUUGGAAAACCUCACCAGGCCUCUAAUCCAUUUACAUUUCUACAAUAUUAUAACGGAUGCCUCACCCAAUCUCUGAACCAUGAAAUAAGACUUCAAACCAGACUAAAGAAACCACAGAAGAACACAGAGCAAGUCUGAACCUUUAAAUUGCUUUGUUACAGUGAAUUGGAACUUCAGUAAUGUGAGCCCGGUCCUCCCGUCUCCUCUGCUGGUAGGAGUCUCGGCUUCGGGAGGAGGAGGCAGCGCUGGAUAAAUUGCUGCCUGCAUUUCCUCCACCGCCAAACGUGCGGGGGCCCUGACAAGGAAACAACAUUAGGAUCAAUAGAGCUGCAGGGUUGGACAAAAAAUACAAUAAAAGAAACACAACUCUGCAAUUGACAAUGUAAUUAUGAUUUUUUAAUUUG